AUUUAAAUUAAUCCGAACUCCUUGCACAGGAGGCGGGGGACUUUUUUCAAUGGGGCGAAUCCGCAUGAUAGUGUCUAGAGCCUGAGUUUUGUUGCACAGGCCCAUGUGGUAGGGAGCAGAGCCGCUUCCCGAGUCCGUCAACUAACCUCGUAGGACACAAAGGGGCUUCUU
RNAcentral lists this small RNA (171 nucleotides) under Alicyclobacillus sp. RNAcentral describes it as "c-di-AMP sequence". It matches the Rfam family "c-di-AMP riboswitch aptamer (ydaO/yuaA leader)". Rfam says of the family: This family represents a conserved RNA structure found upstream of the ydaO and yuaA genes in Bacillus subtilis and related genes in other bacteria. Lineage: Bacteria; Bacillati; Bacillota; Bacilli; Caryophanales; Alicyclobacillaceae. The record is from RNAcentral.